RNAcentral lists this ribosomal RNA (497 nucleotides) under uncultured bacterium. Its description in RNAcentral is "partial 16S ribosomal RNA". It matches the Rfam family "Bacterial small subunit ribosomal RNA", at positions 28 to 507 of the family's 1533-position model. The record is from RNAcentral.
GAUGAACGCUGGCGGCGUGCCUAAUACAUGCAAGUCGAGCGAACGGACGAGAAGCUUGCUUCUCUGAUGUUAGCGGCGGACGGGUGAGUAACACGUGGAUAACCUACCUAUAAGACUGGGAUAACUUCGGGAAACCGGAGCUAAUACCGGAUGAUAUUUUGAACCGCAUGUUUCAAAAGUGAAAGACGGUCUUGCUGUCACUUAUAGAUGUAUCCGCGCUGCAUUAGCUAGUUGGUAAGGUAACGGCUUACCAAGGCAACGAUGCAUAGCCGACCUGAGAGGGUGAUCGGCCACACUGGAACUGAGACACGGUCCAGACUCCUACGGGAGGCAGCAGUAGGGAAUCUUCCGCAAUGGGCGAAAGCCUGACGGAGCAACGCCGCGUGAGUGAUGAAGGUCUUCGGAUCGUAAAACUCUGUUAUUAGGGAAGAACAUAUGUGUAAGUAACUGUGCACAUCUUGACGGUACCUAAUCAGAAAGCCACGGCUAACUACGUG